UACAACAGCCACCGUUUACUAGAAUAUAGUUAUCCUACUUGGAUAACUGUGGCAAUUCUAGAGCUAAUACAUGCAAAAGAGCUCUGCCCGCAAGGAACGAGCGCAUUUAUUAGAAUAAAAACCAAUCGGGUCUCGGCCCGUAAAUUUGGUGAAUCUGAAUAACUUUGCCAAUCGCACGGUCCUAGUACCGGCGAUGUAUCUUUCAAGUGUCUGCCUUAUCAACUUUCGAUGGUAGGUUAUACGCCUACCAUGGUAGUAACGGGUAACGGAGAAUAAGGGUUCGACUCCGGAGAGGGAGCCUGAGAAACGGCUACCACAUCCAAGGAAGGCAGCAGGCGCGCAAAUUACCCACUUCCAGUACGGAGAGGUAGUGACGAAAAAUAACGAGACAGUCCUCUUCGAGGUCUGUCAUCGGAAUGGGUACAAUUUAAAUCCUUUAACGAGGAUCUAUUGGAGGGCAAGUCUGGUGCCAGCAGCCGCGGUAAUUCCAGCUCCAAUAGCGUAUAUUAAAGUUGUUGCGGUUAAAACGCUCGUAGUUGGAUCUGCGGCCUCGGAGGACGGUCCCCCGAAAGGGCGGUCACUGUCUCUCCUAGCCUACAUUUUUAGUCGUCCCUAGGUGCUCUUUACCGAGUGUCUAGGGUGACUGGAACGUUUACUUUGAAAAAAUUAGAGUGCUUAAAGCAGGCGCAAUAGCCUGAAUAAGGUGCAUGGAAUAAUGGAAUAGGACCUCGGUCCCAUUUUGUUGGUUUUCGGAACCUGAGGUAAUGAUUAAGAGGAACAGACGGGGGCAUUUGUAUUCCGGCGCUAGAGGUGAAAUUCUUGGACCGCCGGAAGACAAACAACUGCGAAAGCAUUUGCCAAGAAUGUUUUCAUUAAUC
Molecule: ribosomal RNA, 878 nt
Filed under: Laimydorus sp. SF7
Lineage: Eukaryota; Metazoa; Nematoda; Enoplea; Dorylaimida; Dorylaimidae
Description: SSU rRNA
Rfam family: Eukaryotic small subunit ribosomal RNA
Source: RNAcentral